Molecule: ribosomal RNA, 207 nt
Filed under: uncultured bacterium
Lineage: Bacteria
Description: partial 16S ribosomal RNA
Rfam family: Bacterial small subunit ribosomal RNA
Source: RNAcentral
CGCGUAGGCGGCUUAGUCAGUCAGGCGUGAAAUUCCUGGGCUUAACCUGGGGGCUGCGUUUGAGACGGCUAGGCUAGAGGGUAGGAGAGGGUCGUGGAAUUCCCAGUGUAGAGGUGAAAUUCGUAGAUAUUGGGAAGAACACCGGUGGCGAAGGCGGCGACCUGGCCUAUUACUGACGCUGAGGCGCGACAGCGUGGGGAGCAAACA